This 380-nucleotide unclassified non-coding RNA is filed under the name soil metagenome. Its description in RNAcentral is "partial contains 5.8S ribosomal RNA, internal transcribed spacer 2, and large subunit ribosomal RNA". The stretch from base 1 to 120 matches the Rfam family "5.8S ribosomal RNA", at positions 35 to 154 of the family's 154-position model. The record is from RNAcentral.
GAUGAAGAACGUAGCGAAAUGCGAUAAGUAAUGUGAAUUGCAGAAUUCAGUGAAUCAUCGAAUCUUUGAACGCACCUUGCACCCUUUGGCAUUCUGAAGGGUAUGCUCGUUUGAGUGUCAUUGUACUCUCACACUCCCGAUCUUUGCAUUGGGAGCAGUGGACUUGGGUUUGCUGCUUCACCGUCGCUUACCUCAAAUUGGUUAGUGCAACUCUUGGUUGGACAUAGUACGGCGUGAUAAGUGUUCUUCGCCGGUGCCUCGCAAAGAGGGUGGCCGAUCGGGAUGUUGUGCUCCAAACCGUCUUCGGACAAUCUCUGACGACUUGACCUCAAAUCGAGUAAGACUACCCGCUGAACUUAAGCAUAUCAAUAAGCGGAGGA